Echinops telfairi (small Madagascar hedgehog) is the source of this 361-nucleotide long non-coding RNA. RefSeq lists it as uncharacterized. The transcript has 2 exons. Lineage: Eukaryota; Metazoa; Chordata; Mammalia; Afrosoricida; Tenrecidae. The record is from RefSeq and is a predicted model, not a curated record.
UGGAGGCCUUUGGAGUGGGCAGGGUUCCUUUGCCCCCGCGGGCGCCUGUGCCCGCAGGACGUACCGGCGACGGCUGCCGUCGGGGCAUCUUCAAGGCUGGGUAGAAUGGAGACCCCCGAAGAGUGGACUUCCACUGGCGCGGGGUGUGGACGGUGGCCUCUCCACUGCCCGCCACUGGGAACCCCUGAAGCCCCCCCAGGUGUCAGCAGUGACGUCCCUCAGAGGUGGCAGCUGGCUGGCAGCGAUGACAAGGACCAGCGGUGCAAACCUACCCUUAGUCCAAUGUUUCUGUCGCCAGGAACCCUCCCACUUCCCUUUCCUCCCGCCCUGGUAGCGACUAAUAAACCAUGUUCUCCAUACA